GUAGAAUGGGAGGCAGAGCCUUCAGCCUUCGGGCCCCUCUUCUGUGAAACCAGCUGUGAGUCCGACACCCUCUCUACUUUUAAGGCUUAAAACGUUCCUUUUGACAAAGCACAUUGUUAGGGCUGGAGCAGGUGACCAGAAGAACAGAAUCCCCUCCAUCAUGAAGAAACUGUGCGUCGCAGUCGUCGGAGUUUUGCUGCUGGCUUUCCAUCUCACAUCACAGGUGGCCCUGGCGAAUAACGGCACGAAUCCGGACAACACAAACAUCACCACCCCGAGUUCCACGGGGGCUGGUUGUAGGACUACCGCCGCCUUCAUGCUGCUGCUCCCCCCGCUGGCUCUGACCGCUCUUCUCCUCCACAGGUCCUGACCGAGUGGACUGACCGCGCUGGACACAAAAGCAGCACAGGUUGCACUGUGGAUCCAAUGCUGGCUUAGUCUAAAUACAUUAAUCUCUCAAUCCACCCACCCACUCAAAAACCACCAAAAACGCGUUUUGGAAUUACAUUUUCAGUGCUGGGUGGGAAAACUUGUCUAAAGGCGACGCUCACUUUGAAGCAUUCUGCUCGUUCUAUCCUCUGCACUGGCUCUGCAUGGUCUCUGAAAACUACUUUGGCACCACACCGGUCCUCCUAUCCUGCGUGCAGUGGGAGAACACCUCAGACUCGUGUGCAGUGACCAUCUUCGAUUCUGGUUUCAUUCGCCUGAACAUGAUUUGUAAAGGAGCUAAAUUUGUAACCACUGUGCUUUUAGGGUGUGACUUGAACUGUUUAUUUUUAUGUAGAUUAAAUAAAGCUAUAAAUUGUGAGACCACAUGGCUGACCAUUUCUUUCCUGCUUUGAGUGUUUAACGUUUUCAGGCUAGACUAUAGAGCCAUCAAAUUAAAAC
Molecule: long non-coding RNA, 888 nt
Organism: Oreochromis aureus
Lineage: Eukaryota; Metazoa; Chordata; Actinopteri; Cichliformes; Cichlidae
Source: Ensembl